RNAcentral lists this long non-coding RNA (495 nucleotides) under Hordeum vulgare. Its description in RNAcentral is "long non-coding RNA (HVUL_LNC013689)". Lineage: Eukaryota; Viridiplantae; Streptophyta; Magnoliopsida; Poales; Poaceae. The record is from RNAcentral.
UAUGAGAAAACAGAAUAAGUACUAUUUCACAUAAAGUCAAAAUAUGACAAAACAAGUAGCAUGAACAAAAAAUAUGACAGAACAUGGUACUGUACUAUUUCAGAUACAUUUUUUGCCACAAUUUAAAAAAUAUGACAGAAACAAGCUGUAGUUUCUACUUUCUACCUGUAGUUAGCCACAAAAACAAGCUGUAGUUUCUACUUUCUACCUGUAGUUAGCCUUGAUACUAGGAACCAUACACAGGAAGAACAAAAACAAGCUGUAGUUUCUACCUUCUACUUUCCACUUAAGAUACAUUCAUUCAAGCAAACACAACAAUUGGACAAAUAUUCUACGUGGAUAUGCUGGUUCAGCAUGUUGUCGUCUUCCUCUUCUUCCUCAACAUCUUCUACCAUGAUCGGUGUUGCCUGCCGCUGCCUGAGCGACUUGAACCAGCACCACCUCGUCCCGACGUCGCGACGACCUGCUUGCCACGACGAUCCUGGGCCCUCACUG